This 421-nucleotide ribosomal RNA is filed under the name Bacillus sp. (in: firmicutes). Its description in RNAcentral is "bacterial SSU rRNA". It matches the Rfam family "Bacterial small subunit ribosomal RNA", at positions 382 to 794 of the family's 1533-position model. Lineage: Bacteria; Bacillati; Bacillota; Bacilli; Caryophanales; Bacillaceae. The record is from RNAcentral.
UCUGACGGAGCNCGCCGCGUGAGUGAUGAAGGUUUUCGGAUCGUAAAGCUCUGUUGUUAGGGAAGAACAAGUGCCGUUCAAAUAGGGCGGCACCUUGACGGUACCUAACCAGAAAGCCACGGCUAACUACGUGCCAGCAGCCGCGGUAAUACGUAGGUGGCAAGCGUUGUCCGGAAUUAUUGGGCGUAAAGGGCUCGCAGGCGGUUUCUUAAGUCUGAUGUGAAAGCCCCCGGCUCAACCGGGGAGGGUCAUUGGAAACUGGGGAACUUGAGUGCAGAAGAGGAGAGUGGAAUUCCACGUGUAGCGGUGAAAUGCGUAGAGAUGUGGAGGAACACCAGUGGCGAAGGCGACUCUCUGGUCUGUAACUGACGCUGAGGAGCGAAAGCGUGGGGAGCGAACAGGAUUAGAUACCCCCCGUAGU